This 485-nucleotide ribosomal RNA is filed under the name uncultured bacterium. Its description in RNAcentral is "bacterial SSU rRNA". It matches the Rfam family "Bacterial small subunit ribosomal RNA", at positions 30 to 504 of the family's 1533-position model. The record is from RNAcentral.
CGAACGCUGGCGGCGCGUUUUAAGCAUGCAAGUCGAACGGUAGAAGGGAGCUUGCUCCCUUUGAGAGUGGCGAACGGGUGAGUAACACGUAGAUAAUCUGCCUUGAAGUUGGGGAUAGCCCAUGGAAACAUGGGGUAAUACCGAAUAAUCUGGUCAUCGUAAUGUUGAUUAGGAAAGGAGCUAAGGCUUCGCUUUAGGAUGAGUCUGCGGUUCAUUAGCUAGUUGGUGGGGUAAAGGCCUACCAAGGCGACGAUGAAUAGCCGGCCUGAGAGGGUGAUCGGCCACACUGGAACUGAGACACGGUCCAGACUCCUACGGGAGGCAGCAGCUAAGAAUCUUCCGCAAUGGGGGAAACCCUGACGGAGCGACGCCGCGUGUGUGAAGAAGGCCGUGAGGUUGUAAAGCACUUUUCUUAUUGAAGAAUAAUGCCGGGAGGGAAUGCCCGGCAGAUGACGUUAGAUGAGGAAUAAGCCACGGCUAAUUAC